GAUGAAGAACGUAGCGAAAUGCGAUAAGUAGUGUGAAUUGCAGAAUUCAGUGAAUCAUCGGAUCUUUGAACGCACAUUGCGCCCGCCAGCACUCUGGCGGGCAUGCCUGUUCGAGCGUCAUUUCAACCAUCAAGCCCCAGGCUUGCGUUGGAGCCCUGCGGCUGCCGCAGCCUCCUAAAAGCAGUGGCGGGCUCGCUAUCACACCGAGUGCAGUAGAUUACUCUUCGCUCAGGGCGUGCAGCGGGUUCCGGCCGUGAAACCCCCUACUUUUAAAGGUUGACCUCGGAUCAGGUAGGAAUACCCGCUGAACUUAAGCAUAUCAAUAAGCGGAGGA
This 334-nucleotide unclassified non-coding RNA is filed under the name soil metagenome. RNAcentral's name for it is "partial contains 5.8S ribosomal RNA, internal transcribed spacer 2, and large subunit ribosomal RNA". The stretch from base 1 to 120 matches the Rfam family "5.8S ribosomal RNA", at positions 35 to 154 of the family's 154-position model. The record is from RNAcentral.